GUCGGGAUGGCCGAGUGGUCUGAGGCGCCAGACUCGAGUUCUGGUCUCCGUAUGGAGGAGUGGGUUCGAAUCCCACUUCCGACA
This 84-nucleotide transfer RNA is filed under the name Ornithorhynchus anatinus (platypus). RNAcentral describes it as "tRNA-Ser (CGA) (tRNA-Ser-CGA-5-1, tRNA-Ser-CGA-5-2)". It matches the Rfam family "tRNA". Rfam says of the family: Transfer RNA (tRNA) molecules are approximately 80 nucleotides in length. Lineage: Eukaryota; Metazoa; Chordata; Mammalia; Monotremata; Ornithorhynchidae. The record is from RNAcentral.